AUGCAAGUGAAAGUAAAAAAAAACAACAAUGAAAUGGCUGCUCCCCUUCUGUGUGGCCGGCUGGGUCGUCUGACAUUUGGACACUUGUCAAUCAUCUCUUUCAAUAGCCCAGCGGCGGGAAAAAUGGAGUCGGGGGUCAGCAACUCAGUGUAUUGCCAUGGCAACAACCGCACUGAAGUUCGUAGCCCGCUGGGGGCCGAAGCUCAAAAAAUGCACACAUUGACUGCGCUUCUGGCUCAGCUGUCUGUGAGACGGUCCCUGCCCUUGACCGUCCCACUCCAUUCAGCCGCGUCUAGGCAGAACACACGGUGCAAUCGUGUAGUAAGAUCUCUCAUUCUACUACACUGCUGUCACUUGUCUCACCCCCACCUCCCCUCUCCCAACAAAAAAGCCCACCUGUAGCCUAGUGGUGCUCAAAAGGCAUUUUCCAAUUUCCCAACACAGCUCCCCUAUCUCGUCUCACUCCCAUUUUGCCUAAUUUUCACCUUCUUCAACUCCCACCCUGUGCCUCAACUCCUUCCCCAGUGCCAGUAAUGAGUCCACUGCUGCCUCUCAGAGCCAUUUGUGGUUUUCACUGACUCACUGUUCACUCGGGAGUCCCUACCCUUUCCACACCAACACAUCCUCCUAUUGCCUGCUGUCCCUCCUUACUCCAUCUCUGCCGACCCCCCCCCCCCCCCACCCCCUCCUUUUAUAUAGUCACCGGCCGCCGCGGCUUUCUCCCCAUCUCCAGCGGCAUGAAUAUAUUAUUAUCUACACAAUGGAGCCCUGCUUAUUGUUUAUGAAUUACCAGCCUUGCGGCCAAACAAAGCCUAUUUUCAUAAGAAACCUCCAUUUCAUUUCAGCUCCAAUUAGAUUGGGGGCUAAAGAAUAGGAGUCCUCAGGCCCCAGCCCCUAAGGAUGGCAGGUCCAUUCAGCUCCAUUCAAUGGGGCCUUAUUGCUUUCCUAUACAAAAGAGCACGUGGAUGGGGCUUUCAGACUGAAACACUGACCAAAAAUGACUGGGAGACAGUACUGUACAAUAACAAAUCUUUAAAGAAAGGACACAGAGUGCUUAUCCUUCCCUCCAUCAAUUCAUCCUUCACUUUUUGCCUUCUUCCUCGUCCACCGUUCAUAUAUUGUUCCGACCUGGACAUUAAUGACAGACAGUUGAAAGAAAAAAGGGAGUGAAAGAAGAGGAGAAGAAAGAAGGGGAGAGCAGCUCAGUUUUUUUUCACAAUACAUGUCAAGUCUAAAUGAUCACUUGCCGCUGAAUAGACAGAAGGAGAAGGGAAAGCAGUGAGACGUGUGUGUGUGUGUGUGUGUGUGUGUGUGUGUGUGUGUGUGUGUGUGUGUGUGUGUGUGUGUGUGUGUGAGUGUACAGCUGAUUGAUUCUCUGCUUUGAAAAGAGAAGAAAAAAGGGUGAACCAUAGAGCGAGGAAGAACCUUGAUGCUUUUUUUUUUUUUUCUAUCCCAGCGCUCCACAAUGGUCUGGGGGCUGAGAGCCACAUUGUGGCGGGGCUAGUGACAGGCUGUCAGUCUGCUCGCCGCGCAGCAACAAGAGGAAGCAAGAGGCUGCGAGAAAACCCCCCGAAGACACGAUGACUCCGGCGCUGCCACCGCUGGACUCUUUGAAUGGAAGGAGAGAUACUGUGAGGAGAAGUAUUGUGGAAUACCUUCCCCGCCGCACACUCUUCAAGGGUCGUGUGCGUGUCCCCCUCGGGUCAAACGGAGUCCAAAGCCGUCGAGGGCCAGCUCGUUCCGAGUGCUGAGUGGUGGACGCGGCGGCACCAGGUGUUUACCUGCCCUGCUAUGAAGUCUGGUCAUUACCGGAUCCAGCUUAUGAUUAUUGAUUAUCUUCCUGGUUCACGUCAGGCUUUAGUCCUCGCCGCUCUUUUGUUGUUUGGAUAGGAGAAAAAAAAAACAGGGGACAUUGUGUCGGUGAAUAGGCUGGCAGCCGGGCCAAACAAGGUCAGAGCAUCAGAGUACUGAACCGCGCUUUUAUAUGCCAAGAUCUGCUCCGGAGGAUGAAUUUGAAACGAGCCCCUUUGUAUCUAUGCGGGAAUAUUCAGCGCGAGACAAUGGCCGCCUGUUCUCCUCACUAAUGAGUGGACAAGGUGAGAGUCCCAGCCAGAAAGGUGGACAUCUGUGGUUAUUCAGCCCUCACGGCGGCAGAAUAGGAUCCUUUCCUUACAAGGAUUAUCAGGAUUAUCAGCACACACUAACACACACAGGGUUUCAAUGGGCCAGUCACUGUGAUAAGGGGUGACAUAAGAGCCCAGAUAAAGAUAAAUGCCUGGGCUUAGUUUUUUGUGUUAAUUAUGUAAUAAAGACAUGAAUGAAAAAAGGAACAUCAUGCACUUCUUGGCUUUAACCCCUCAUCGAAUAUCUCAACACUAAGCGAGGGCUUGAGUUAAUUAAAG
RNAcentral lists this long non-coding RNA (2402 nucleotides) under Gadus morhua (Atlantic cod). RNAcentral's name for it is "lncRNA (ENSGMOG00000022961.1)". Lineage: Eukaryota; Metazoa; Chordata; Actinopteri; Gadiformes; Gadidae. The record is from RNAcentral.